GACGAACGCUGGCGGCGUGCUUAACACAUGCAAGUCGAACGGAAAGGCCUGCUUUCCCUUGUGGAUUGCGGGUACUCGAGUGGCGAACGGGUGAGUAACACGUGAGUGAUCUGCCCCCAACUUGGGUAUAAGCCUGGGAAACUGGGUCUAAUUCCCGAUAGGACUGCAGGGUGGUGCCUGUGGUGGAAAACGAUUUUCUAGUGGUUGGGGAUGAGCUCGCGGCCUAUCAGCUUGUUGGUGGGGUAAUGGCCUACCAAGGCGGCGACGGGUAGCCGGCCUGGGAGGGUGGACGGCCACAUUGGGACUGAGAUACGGCCCAGACUCCUACGGGAGGCAGCAGUGGGGAAUAUUGCACAAUGGGCGGAAGCCUGAUGCAGCGACGCCGCAUGGGGGAUGACGGCCUUCGGGUUGUAAACUCCUUUCGACCGCGAGGAAGCCACCUGGUUGGAAGGGUGGUGACGGUAGUGGUAGAAGAAGCACCGGCUAACUACGUG
Molecule: ribosomal RNA, 494 nt
Filed under: uncultured bacterium
Lineage: Bacteria
Description: partial 16S ribosomal RNA
Rfam family: Bacterial small subunit ribosomal RNA
Source: RNAcentral